RNAcentral lists this unclassified non-coding RNA (163 nucleotides) under uncultured Agaricales. RNAcentral's name for it is "sequence contains ITS2". The record is from RNAcentral. Lineage: Eukaryota; Fungi; Basidiomycota; Agaricomycetes; Agaricales.
AACUAUCAAAACACUUUUCAUAGCAGAGGUUGUUUUGGACUUUGGGAGUGAUUUUUUUGCUGGCCUUUUUCCAGCUCUCCUAAAAAGCAUUAGUCGGCAGACAAUCCAGUGUGAUAAGUUUCUUACGCUGUCUCUGCUUGUCGAGGUUCUUUGAAGAACCUAU